AUUGAACGCUGGCGGCAUGCCUUACACAUGCAAGUCGAACGGCAGCACGGGUGCUUGCACCUGGUGGCGAGUGGCGAACGGGUGAGUAAUACAUCGGAACGUACCUUAUCGUGGGGGAUAACGCAGCGAAAGCUGUGCUAAUACCGCAUACGCCCUGAGGGGGAAAGCGGGGGAUCGCAAGACCUCGCGCGAUUAGAGCGGCCGAUGCCUGAUUAGCUAGUUGGUGGGGUAAAAGCCCACCAAGGCGACGAUCAGUAGCUGGUCUGAGAGGACGGUCAGCCACACUGGGACUGAGACACGGCCCAGACUCCUACGGGAGGCAGCAGUGGGGAAUUUUGGACAAUGGGGGCAACCCUGAUCCAGCAAUGCCGCGUGGGUGAAGGAGGCCUUCGGGUUGUAAAGCUCUUUUGUCAGGGAAGAAACACCGGCUCUAACACAGUCCGGGAAUGACGGUACCUGAAGAAUAAGCACCGGCUAACUACGUGCCAGCCGCCGCCGUAA
RNAcentral lists this ribosomal RNA (501 nucleotides) under uncultured bacterium. RNAcentral describes it as "partial 16S ribosomal RNA". It matches the Rfam family "Bacterial small subunit ribosomal RNA", at positions 29 to 523 of the family's 1533-position model. The record is from RNAcentral.